Long non-coding RNA from Selaginella moellendorffii, 357 nucleotides. RefSeq lists it as uncharacterized. The record is from RefSeq and is a predicted model, not a curated record. NCBI's taxonomy places the organism in Eukaryota, Viridiplantae, Streptophyta, Lycopodiopsida, Selaginellales, Selaginellaceae. The transcript is spliced from 3 exons.
CAAGGUCCCAGGUACUCGAAAAAUUCCUUUUUUUUCUUCCUUUACAGCAGUGAGGAGGCGCGUUUGAUCGUGGCGAGGCGUGGUGAGCGCUCGUCCACCUCGCAAAUCCUCGCAUUUCCUCGCAAAAUCACUGGAAUGCUCCUCUCGCGUUUGAUCGUGGUGAGCUCGUGGUGGGCACUUGACCUCGCAAAUUGCCCCGCAAAACCACUAGAAGCAAACGCUCACGAUUGACAAUGGAAAUGCCGCGUCCGUCCAUGGUGGACCUCCUCGCGAUGAAUAUACUAUGAUAGCUAUAUCAUAUGAAACACCGAAAGCAUGGUCCUUCCUUUUUUAAUAAUCUAAGCAUUCCAUAUGAUA